GAUGAACGCUGGCGGCGUGCCUAAUACAUGCAAGUCGAGCGAACAGAUGAGGAGCUUGCUCCUCUGAUGUUAGCGGCGGACGGGUGAGUAACACGUGGAUAACCUACCUAUAAGACUGGGAUAACUUCGGGAAACCGGAGCUAAUACCGGAUAAUAUUUUGAACCGCAUGGUUCAAUAGUGAAAGACGGUUUUGCUGUCACUUAUAGAUGGAUCCGCGCUGCAUUAGCUAGUUGGUAAGGUAACGGCUUACCAAGGCAACGAUGCGUAGCCGACCUGAGAGGGUGAUCGGCCACACUGGAACUGAGACACGGUCCAGACUCCUACGGGAGGCAGCAGUAGGGAAUCUUCCGCAAUGGGCGAAAGCCUGACGGAGCAACGCCGCGUGAGUGAUGAAGGUCUUCGGAUCGUAAAACUCUGUUAUUAGGGAAGAACAAAUGUGUAAGUAACUGUGCACAUCUUGACGGUACCUAAUCAGAAAGCCACGGCUAACUACGUG
RNAcentral lists this ribosomal RNA (497 nucleotides) under uncultured bacterium. RNAcentral describes it as "partial 16S ribosomal RNA". It matches the Rfam family "Bacterial small subunit ribosomal RNA", at positions 28 to 507 of the family's 1533-position model. The record is from RNAcentral.